UGACAGGUGUAAAAGCUCGUGUGAGCAAAAUUUAACCUCGACGAUAAAUUUCUACGACGUUACUUCUUCCUCCCUCACGUCGCGCCACUCGACUAUAUAUGUGAAUGAUCGAACGCGAGCGAUUUGUAAGGAUUGUACAAAUACAGAGGAAGAUAACACGCGCCAAAGUGCAUUGCUGACGAGUACAUCCGGUCUUCAACGCCCACACAUGCACAUUAAUACGUCGGGCACGUAUCGAUGAUGACGAGAUAGGAAGCAAGGAAGGAAGGUCACCUGCGAUUUACCUGCCUCUCACAGGACGGAGAAGGAAGGACGCGCGUUUUGGGGGAGAACGAAGGAAAGAAACGACGAGGUCGACGAGGAAAUUGCAUCUUUCGACGAUGAGUGUAUUUGACGUCAUUCUCUGGGGUUCUCACGAACGCGUGUGCGUUACGUAGAUACGCAAAUACGCACCGCGGGAAUGCGAGAAAUACACGUAUAAGGCGACGCUCACAUCGUGAGACCCAAUUGCGAUUAUAGGAUAUAAGCGAGAAUUAUUCACCCACAAAAUGCGCCUGUAAAAUUCGGUAACAGGAUGAGAAAGAUAUAUGUAAAACAAAUAAAAUUUUUACAUAAACUUCAUUAUUUCUGGCUAAACUCGUGGCACUCGCAUUUUAUGAGACACACGUGUACAACCAAUAUGUUGUUGAGUUGUCUCAGCGUCUUGUACUUCAUUAAUGAGUAUCGAUAAAGUGAUGAAAAUAGGUAGUAGAAAAGAAAGAAAUAAUUUCAGCGGAGACCUCUCAUAAGUAAGAAAUAAAAAUCGCUAGAGAAAAAGAGAGGUGGACCGAAGCUCGGCUUAGUAAAAGCGGCCUAAACGGUGACUGCUAUAUUGUCGCUGGGAAACGAAAAUAGCUGCUGUCAGCCUCGGAGGCAAAUCGUGGCGGCGAGGGAGCAAGAGGGAGCAACGAUGGCCGAUGGAGAGCUAAGGUGGUAAGGUGUACGACAACGACAACGACGACGACGAAGAAGGUGGGACCAAGAGAAACGACGAAGGAGCAUCGAACGAGGGUGUUGUGCGAGAUCUGGAAUGAAGAACCCGGCCAAACAGACUUAUUGCGGCUUACGUAAUUCCUCUUCUUCUUCUUCUUCGAGCUUCAAAGCUCGAGCCUCGAAAUUCGCCCCGCUGAGCGUUAUUAUGGCAUCAUGCGAGAGAGAUCGAAAACUUGACACAAUAAAAAUACAUAUAAUCUCGUACAUAAAACUCGAUGAUUCACAAUAAAAAUAAGCAUCGAAAAUAUAAAUAGAAUUCUCGAGAGAAGUCAAAAUAAUGAUUUGUAAAAUGAUAUCUGUUGAUUUUUGUUGGGUCUGUUGAAUUAUUGGAACAUUUUCUUGCGAUUCAGAGAGACGUUUAUGAAAAUAAGAGCCAAGAAAGAUUUUUGAGGGAAUAAAUGACACAUAAAAAGGUGAAAAAUAAUUAUAAAUUCGAAAACAUCGAUUAGGCUCUUUAGAUGAUAAUCUAUACCUUAACCAAUUGUGUUGGUAUGUAAAAUUUAUUUUAUAAUCCGUUUGAAAAUUUUGCAAGCGCUGACGCUUUUAUCCAUCUAUAUCUACGAGAUUGAUAAUCGAGACAAUAGCAGGACACAAUAACAUAAUUUUAUUCGUAUGUAAUGUAAUACAAUGUAAUUUAAUCGCGUGACUUAUCUCGCCAACAAAAUUCACCCGCAUAGUCACAUUCAUUGAGCCGUCAUCUCUCGACAGGAUUAAUUAUCGCAGCUUCGAGGAUCUCGUCCAAAUAUCUUCGCUCGAAUUAGAUCCCGGCGUCGGCUGAAUUAGCGAAUAUACAUGCAAAUUACACAACAUCAUAACUUGUAAUUAUUAUCGCGACGGGACGCGAGCGACAGAUGCCAAGAGACGUCUCUCGAAGAAGGAAACGCGUCAACGUUCUUCGUUCGCGACGCCUAAUUAAUAAUAUCAAUUGAUGACACAGCUACGAACUUCUCUCAACUUCAUUUCCGGUCAGUUGCGUCCAGAAAGAGAGAGGAAAAGUAAAUGAAGGGAUUGAUGCACGUGAUGAACUUGCACUUGAUGUUAUGAGUGUCCUCGAUGUUACAUUUCUCCUUCUAUGAGAGAAAAAUAUUGCUGCUGCUCAUAUCUCAUAUGUAAUCUUUCUGUUGUUAAGCGUAUUUAUCUUAAUAAUUAUAAAUUGAUUCUCUU
Long non-coding RNA from Camponotus floridanus (Florida carpenter ant), 2196 nucleotides. RefSeq lists it as uncharacterized. Lineage: Eukaryota; Metazoa; Arthropoda; Insecta; Hymenoptera; Formicidae. The record is from RefSeq and is a predicted model, not a curated record. The transcript has 3 exons.